AGUGAACGCUGGCGGUAGGCCUAACACAUGCAAGCCGAACGGCAGCACAGUAAGAGCUUGCUCUUACGGGUGGCGAGUGGCGGACGGGUGAGGAAUACAUCGGAAUCUACUUUUUCGUGGGGGAUAACGUAGGGAAACUUACGCUAAUACCGCAUACGACCUACGGGUGAAAGCAGGGGAUCUUCGGACCUUGCGCGAUUGAAUGAGCCGAUGUCGGAUUAGCUAGUUAGCGGGGUAAAGGCCCACCAAGGCGACGAUCCGUAGCUGGUCUGAGAGGAUGAUCAGCCACACUGGAACUGAGACACGGUCCAGACUCCUACGGGAGGCAGCAGUGGGGAAUAUUGGACAAUGGGCGCAAGCCUGAUCCAGCCAUACCGCGUGGGUGAAGAAGGCCUUCGGGUUGUAAAGCCCUUUUGUUGGGAAAGAAAAGCAGCAGGUUAAUACCCCGCUGUUCUGACGGUACCCAAAGAAUAAGCACCGGCUAACUUCGUG
This 492-nucleotide ribosomal RNA is filed under the name uncultured bacterium. RNAcentral's name for it is "partial 16S ribosomal RNA". It matches the Rfam family "Bacterial small subunit ribosomal RNA", at positions 29 to 507 of the family's 1533-position model. The record is from RNAcentral.